Long non-coding RNA from Culex quinquefasciatus (southern house mosquito), 386 nucleotides. RefSeq lists it as uncharacterized. NCBI's taxonomy places the organism in Eukaryota, Metazoa, Arthropoda, Insecta, Diptera, Culicidae. The transcript has 3 exons. The record is from RefSeq and is a predicted model, not a curated record.
AUUAACAAAACAGUUUAUUACAAACAACUAUCACGGUUUAUAAGUACCACAAACACAUUUUAAUAUAUUAAUAAUCAUUGUUUCUCGGUUCUAAUAACAUUUUGCCGGUUUGACAAACAAGUUUGUUGUUUGAAACUAAACUCGUUUAAACGUGUAAGGAAAAUUAACAGUGUAUGUUUUUACUCCAACCUCAAUCAAGAUGGCCGAACUGAUAAAGGUGGAAUUCUAAGGAAUAUAGUAACUGUUCGUUCCAUAUAACUAAGCUGGUGGAUUUUUUUCGAGGUAUAAUCAGAUAACUUUCUCCAUGUCUCCAGCAGCUGAUGUUUCUAUUUGGUGUCCAGCGAAAAUGCCUGUCAAAUGAGUGUGGCCGGAACUCCCUGUGAUGC